CGGCGGACGGGUGAGUAACGCGUGGGUAACCUGCCUCAUACAGGGGGAUAACAGUUGGAAACGGCUGCUAAUACCGCAUAAGCGCACAGUACCGCAUGGUACGGUGUGAAAAACUCCGGUGGUAUGAGAUGGAUCCGCGUCUGAUUAGGUAGUUGGUGGGGUAACGGCCUACCAAGCCGACGAUCAGUAGCCGACCUGAGAGGGUGACCGGCCACAUUGGGACUGAGACACGGCCCAA
Molecule: ribosomal RNA, 238 nt
Filed under: uncultured bacterium
Lineage: Bacteria
Description: partial 16S ribosomal RNA
Rfam family: Bacterial small subunit ribosomal RNA
Source: RNAcentral